UAAUACAACUCUCUAUUCAUACUGUUUGUCCAUCUGUCUGCAAAGACUGAAAUAACUUUAAAGUACCUAAGGUGUCCCCAAUAGCACUUGGUAAGCAUACAUCCGUAGAUGACUCAAUCAGUGAUCCAUGGUACUCAAUAGUAGCCCAUAGAUAAUGAUAAUACUUAAUGUUUGUUAAAGAGUUUUCUGGAUGAGUUUCACAUUCACAAAUAAACAGAAUAUCAGGACAUAACAAUUUAUGAAUGAAUCCAAAAACUGAAUUUACUCAUAAGAUUAUGAUGAGUUCCAUCAUAGUAGUAAAGUAUUGAUGUCGCUAAUGUGAAACAAGGUAGUAAAGUAUUGAUGUCGCUAAUGUGAAACAAGGUAGUAAAGUAUUGAUGUCGCUAAUGUGAAACAAGGUAGUAAAGUAUUGAUGUCGCUAAUGUGAAACAAGGUAGUAAAGUAUUGAUGUCGCUAAUGUGAAACAAGGUAGUAAAGUAUUGAUGUCGCUAAUGUGAAACAAGGUAGUAAAGUAUUGAUGUCGCUAAUGUGAAACAAGGUAGUAAAGUAUUGAUGUCGCUAAUGUGAAACAAGGUAGUAAAGUAUUGAUGUCGCUAAUGUGAAACAAGGUAGUAAAGUAUUGAUGUCGCUAAUGUGAAACAAGGUAGUAAAGUAUUGAUGUCGCUAAUGUGAAACAAGGUAGUAAAGUAUUGAUGUCGCUAAUGUGAAACAAGGUAGUAAAGUAUUGAUGUCGCUAAUGUGAAACAAGGUAGUAAAGUAUUGAUGUCGCUAAUGUGAAACAAGGUAGUAAAGUAUUGAUGUCGCUAAUGUGAAACAAGGUAGUAAAGUAUUGAUGUCGCUAAUGUGAAACAAGGUAGUAAAGUAUUGAUGUCGCUAAUGUGAAACAAGGUAGUAAAGUAUUGAUGUCGCUAAUGUGAAACAAGGUAGUAAAGUAUUGAUGUCGCUAAUGUGAAACAAGGUAGUAAAGUAUUGAUGUCGCUAAUGUGAAACAAGGUAGUAAAGUAUUGAUGUCGCUAAUGUGAAACAAGGUAGUAAAGUAUUGAUGUCGCUAAUGUGAAACAAGGUAGUAAAGUAUUGAUGUCGCUAAUGUGAAACAAGGUAGUAAAGUAUUGAUGUCGCUAAUGUGAAACAAGGUAGUAAAGUAUUGAUGUCGCUAAUGUGAAACAAGG
Molecule: long non-coding RNA, 1169 nt
Organism: Dreissena polymorpha
Lineage: Eukaryota; Metazoa; Mollusca; Bivalvia; Myida; Dreissenidae
Exons: 4
Source: RefSeq, a predicted model, not a curated record